This 682-nucleotide ribosomal RNA is filed under the name Scottocalanus securifrons. RNAcentral describes it as "eukaryotic LSU rRNA". It matches the Rfam family "Eukaryotic large subunit ribosomal RNA", at positions 1 to 628 of the family's 3401-position model. The record is from RNAcentral. Lineage: Eukaryota; Metazoa; Arthropoda; Copepoda; Calanoida; Scolecitrichidae.
UCGACCUGAGAUCAGAUAAGAUUACCCGCCGAAUUUAAGCAUAUUAAUAAGCGGAGGAAAAGAAAACAACUGUGAUUCCCUUAGUAAUGGCGAAUGAAACGGGAUCAGCCCAUCGCGUAACUGCAGGUCAUCUUGGCCUCGCGGAAUGUCGCGUUUGGGAGAGUCUCAUCGGGAGCCGGACGGCCAGUCAAAGUCCAACUUGACAGUGGCCACUGCCCAUAGAGGGUGAUAGGCCCGUAAGGCGGCCGUCCGUUUCCGCCGACUUUUCCCCAGAGUCGGGUUGCUUGGGAGUGCAGCCCAAAGUGCGAGGUAAACUCCUCGUAAGGCUAAAUAUGACCUCGAGACCGAUAGCAAACAAGUACCGUGAGGGAAGAUUGAAAAGAACUUUGAAGAGAGAGUUCAAUAGUACGUGAAACUGUGUGGUGGUAAACGGAGGGGUUCUCGAAGUUUCUGUGGGGAACUCAACCUUGGUGUCGGGCGGUCGGUGCGUAUCGGAUCAGCAAUGACCGUGCGCGGCGUCUGGCUUGGCUCUCGGGUGCACUUCCCCCACAGUUUACGGCAGGAACCGUUUGGCACGGACCGAAGGCCGCGGGUGAAGUUGUCGCUUAUGGUGGCAGCCCUGUGUGUCCUGGCUCUGCGCCCCGACGGGUACGUGAGAGGACUCGUAUAGCGAGCAAUGCUC